AACGCUGGCGGCGUGCUUAACACAUGCAAGUCGAGCGGAGAUAUUUGAAAGCUUGCUUUUGAAUAUCUUAGCGGCGGACGGGUGAGUAACGUGUGGGCAACCUGCCUCAUACAGAGGGAUAAUCAUGUGAAAACGUGACUAAUACCGCAUGUCAUUUGUUGAAGGCAUCUUCGACAAAGAAAAGGAGCAAUCCGGUAUGAGAUGGGCCCGCAUCUGAUUAGCUAGUUGGUGAGAUAACAGCCCACCAAGGCGACGAUCAGUAGCCGACCUGAGAGGGUGAUCGGCCACAUUGGGACUGAGACACGGCCCAAACUCCUACGGGAGGCAGCAGUGGGGAAUAUUGCACAAUGGAGGAAACUCUGAUGCAGCGACGCCGCGUGAGUGAAGAAGUAGUUCGCUAUGUAAAGCUCUAUCAGCAGGGAAGAUAGUGACGGUACCUGACUAAGAAGCUCCGGCUAAAUACGUG
This 466-nucleotide ribosomal RNA is filed under the name uncultured bacterium. RNAcentral describes it as "bacterial SSU rRNA". It matches the Rfam family "Bacterial small subunit ribosomal RNA", at positions 32 to 507 of the family's 1533-position model. The record is from RNAcentral.